This 222-nucleotide ribosomal RNA is filed under the name Staphylococcus hominis. RNAcentral's name for it is "partial 23S ribosomal RNA". It matches the Rfam family "Bacterial large subunit ribosomal RNA", at positions 2701 to 2925 of the family's 2925-position model. The record is from RNAcentral. Lineage: Bacteria; Bacillati; Bacillota; Bacilli; Caryophanales; Staphylococcaceae.
ACAUACCUCUGGUGUACCAGUUGUCGUGCCAACGGCAUAGCUGGGUAGCUAUGUAUGGACGGGAUAAGUGCUGAAAGCAUCUAAGCAUGAAGCCCCCCUCAAGAUGAGAUUUCCCAACUUCGGUUAUAAGAUCCCUCAGAGAUGAUUAGGUUAAUAGGUUCGAGGUGGAAGCGUGGUGACACGUGGAGCUGACGAAUACUAAUCGAUCGAAGACUUAAUCAA